GGCAAUUCUUGGGUCACGCACCCCAGAAUUGGGCUCCCUCUUCUCUGGUUCCAGGUGCAUCACCCAAGAACCACA
This is a non-coding RNA of Myotis brandtii (Brandt's bat), 75 nucleotides long. The record is from Rfam. Lineage: Eukaryota; Metazoa; Chordata; Mammalia; Chiroptera; Vespertilionidae.